This 459-nucleotide ribosomal RNA is filed under the name unidentified nematode Sourhope farm. RNAcentral describes it as "SSU rRNA". It matches the Rfam family "Eukaryotic small subunit ribosomal RNA", at positions 75 to 529 of the family's 1831-position model. The record is from RNAcentral. Lineage: Eukaryota; Metazoa; Nematoda.
CAGACAGGGAAACUGCGUACGGCUCAUUACACCAGCCUUAAUUUACUUGACCUUGACAACCUACUUGGAUAACUGUGGUAAUUCUAGAGCUAAUACAUGCACCAAAGCUCCGAUCCUCGCGGAGAGGAGCGCAUUUGUUCGCCACAAAACCAAGCGCCCAUCUGGGCGUCCAGUGCUGAACCAGAACAACUCAGCUGAUCGCACGGUCUUGUACCGGCGACGUGUCUUUCAAGUGUCUGCCUUAUCAACUUUCGAUGGUAGUGUACCUGACUACCAUGGUUGUGACGGGUAACGGAGGAUAAGGGUUCGACUCCGGAGAAGGGGCCUGAGAAAUGGCCACUACGUCUAAGGAUGGCAGCAGGCGCGCAAAUUACCCACUCUCAACGCGAGGAGGUAGUGACGAGAAAUAACGAGACCGUUCUCAUACGAGGCCGGUUAUUGGAAUGGGUACAAUUUAAA